Molecule: microRNA precursor, 60 nt
Filed under: Cavia porcellus (domestic guinea pig)
Lineage: Eukaryota; Metazoa; Chordata; Mammalia; Rodentia; Caviidae
Description: microRNA cpo-mir-501 precursor
Gene: cpo-mir-501
Source: miRBase by way of RNAcentral
AAUCCUUUGUCCCUGAGUGAGAAUGCUUUCAGAAUGCAGUGCUCCCAGGCAAGGGUUCUG